AGUGAACGCUGGCGGUAGGCCUAACACAUGCAAGUCGAACGGCAGCACAGUAAGAGCUUGCUCUUACGGGUGGCGAGUGGCGGACGGGUGAGGAAUACACCGGCAUCUACUUUUUCGUGGGGGAUAACGUAUGGAAACUCACGCUAAUACCGCAUACGACCUACGGGUGAAUGCAGGGGAUCUUCGGACCUUGCGCGAUUGAAUGAGCCGAUGUCGGAUUAGCUAGUUGGCGGGGUAAAGGCCCACCAAGGCGACGAUCCGUAGCUCGUCUGAGAGGAUGAAUAGCCACUCUGGAACUUAGACACGGUCCAGACUACUACGGGAGGCAGCAGUCGGGAAUAUUGGACAAUGGGCGCAAGCCUGAUCCGGCCAUACCGCGUGGGUGAAGAAGGCCUUCGGGUUGUAAAGCCCUUUUGUUGGGAAAGAAAAGCAGCAGGUUAAUACACCGCUGCUCUGACGGUACCCAAAGAAUAAGCACCGGCUAACUUCGUG
Molecule: ribosomal RNA, 492 nt
Filed under: uncultured bacterium
Lineage: Bacteria
Description: partial 16S ribosomal RNA
Rfam family: Bacterial small subunit ribosomal RNA
Source: RNAcentral